CCUACGGGAGGCUGCAGUGGGGAAUAUUGGGCAAUGGGCGCAAGCCUGACCCAGCAACGCCGCGUGAAGGAAGAAGGCUUUCGGGUUGUAAACUUCUUUUGUCAGGGACGAAGCAAGUGACGGUACCUGACGAAUAAGCCACGGCUAACUCCGUGCCAGCAGCCGCGGUAAUAAGUAGGUGGCAAGCGUUAUCCGGAUUUACUGGGUGUAAAGGGCGAGUAGGCGGGGAGGCAAGUCAGAUGUGAAAACCACGGGGUCAACCUGUGGCCUGCAGUUGAAACUGUUUUUCUUGAGUGCUGGAGAGGCAAUCGGAAUUCCGUGUGUAGCGGUGAAAUGCGUAGAUAUACGGAGGAACACCAGUGGCGAAGGCGGAUUGCUGGACAGUAACUGACGCUGAGGCGCGAAAGCGUGGGGAGCAAACAGGAUUAGAUACCCCAGUAGUC
RNAcentral lists this ribosomal RNA (443 nucleotides) under uncultured bacterium. RNAcentral's name for it is "partial 16S ribosomal RNA". It matches the Rfam family "Bacterial small subunit ribosomal RNA", at positions 338 to 795 of the family's 1533-position model. The record is from RNAcentral.